AACGAACGCUGGCGGCGUGCUUAACACAUGCAAGUCGAACGGACUCUUCGGAGUUAGUGGCGGACGGGUGAGUAAUACAUAGGUAAUCUGCCUUUAAGUGGGGGACAACUAGCCGAAAGGUUGGCUAAUACCGCAUAAUAUUGUGAGUUGAGAUAUUCACAAGGAAAGAUUUAUCACUUUUAGAGGAGCCUAUGCUCGAUUGGCUAGUUGGUAGGGUAAUGGCUUACCAAGGCGACGAUCGAUAGCUGGUCUGAGAGGACGAUCAGCCACACUGGGACUGAGACACGGCCCAGACUUCUACGGAAGGCAGCAGUGGGGAAUUUUCCGCAAUGGGCGAAAGCCUGACGAGCGACGCCGCGUAUGGGAUGAAGUAUUUAGGUAUGUAAACCAUUGUCAGUGGGGGCGAAAACAAAUGACAGUACCCACAGAGGAAGCAUCGGCUAACUACGUGCCAGCAGCCG
This 461-nucleotide ribosomal RNA is filed under the name uncultured bacterium. RNAcentral's name for it is "bacterial SSU rRNA". It matches the Rfam family "Bacterial small subunit ribosomal RNA", at positions 29 to 517 of the family's 1533-position model. The record is from RNAcentral.